GAUGAACGCUGGCGGCGUGCCUAAUACAUGCAAGUCGAGCGAACAGACGAGGAGCUUGCUCCUCUGACGUUAGCGGCGGACGGGUGAGUAACACGUGGUUAACCUACCUAUACGACUGGGAUAACUUCGGGAAACCGGAGCUAAUACCGGAUAAUAUAUUGAACCGCAUGGUUCAAUAGUGAAAGACGGUUUUGCUGUCACUUAUAGAUGGAUCCGCGCCGCAUUAGCUAGUUGGUAAGGUAACGGCUUACCAAGGCAACGAUGCGUAGCCGACCUGAGAGGGUGAUCGGCCACACUGGAACUGAGACACAGUCCAGACUCCUACGGGAGGCAACAGUAGGGAAUCUUCCGCGAUGGGCGAAAGCCUGACGGAGCAACGCCGCGUGAGUGAUGAAGGUCUUCGGAUCGUAGAACUCUGUUAUUAGGGAAGAACAAAUGUGUAAGUAACUAUGCACGUCUUGACGGUACCUAAUCAGAAAGCCACGGCUAACUACGUG
This 497-nucleotide ribosomal RNA is filed under the name uncultured bacterium. RNAcentral's name for it is "partial 16S ribosomal RNA". It matches the Rfam family "Bacterial small subunit ribosomal RNA", at positions 28 to 507 of the family's 1533-position model. The record is from RNAcentral.